AAACCAUGAUAAGGACACUCUAAGAGAAGAUCUUUAAAACGUUCCAUACAUCGAGCAAAUGAUUCAUUUGGUUGUUGGAGAAACUGGAGAAUGUCGUUCCUAAGUUU
Molecule: small nucleolar RNA, 107 nt
Filed under: Cephalotus follicularis
Lineage: Eukaryota; Viridiplantae; Streptophyta; Magnoliopsida; Oxalidales; Cephalotaceae
Description: Plant small nucleolar RNA R71
Rfam family: Plant small nucleolar RNA R71
About the family: R71 is a member of the C/D box family of snoRNAs containing the C (UGAUGA) and D (CUGA) box motifs.
Source: Rfam by way of RNAcentral